AGAAAAAAAAGCCGGUAAAAAGGUGUUCUUUUAGGUUUUUGAGAUAUAAGUGGAUUAAGCAAACAGUAGUGGAUGAACAGAAGAUACAAUGCAAAAAUAAGCAGGUAACACAUCAUAUGCAAGAAAAAUUUGCAUAUUUAAGAAUCAGAAUCUUAAAUGGCCAAAAUCACAACACUUUAAUGCAGUGCUGGCAAACCUUGAGUUAUAUGAAAGUGUUAUAUUCAUGUAACACUUGCCCUCAACUUGAACAUUUCAACGAACUAAGCACAAUCCACUGCACCACGCCAGCAGUAGAAGUCUCCUCAAGCAUUAUGGUGCAUCAUGUCAAACCACAAAAAAUGCUAAGGAAUAUUUUGAGGAACAUUACAAAACUUCAAAAGCUCCUCAGACACGGAAAACGCCUCUUUAUGGGUGGUUAAAUUGCUGCCCAUUUUCUAUGCUUGCUAAGUCCUGCUAGCUACACUGGGGAGAUGGCACUGCCAUCAAGGAAGGUACAACCUCUAAGCAUGAUGCCAGUCUGUUAGAGACCCAGAACAGAAACCCCUUUCAUUGUGUGAUGUUCUUUACAUGGUGUGAUCAACUGGAAGGUCCUCAAACAGAAUGAGGAGUUGAAGUCGUCCCACUAAUAUCAGUCCACCGAGACACCUCGAAAAGUAGUCACAAGCGAGUAACAAUUACAAACUGUAAGGGAUAGUAACAGAUUUUUGAAUGACGUGAUGUAUACCGUUAGAAUACAAAGCAAAACAUUCUAGCACACACUGAGGGUCAUGGUCCAAAGAUACACACAGAAGCACAUCAUCAAACCAAAGGAAAGGAGACCCUGAGAUUCCCAAACCAGUCACCCUCCUUUCUGCAACUCCAAAUCCUGUCCACAAACAGACCAAUCACACUAGAAACUGCUUUAGUCUUGUGCUGAAUUACAAACACAGCUCAUAAGAUCAGUAUAUCUUCCAAACUACAUAAUAUUUUUUAUCACUGAGUAAUAUGAAUCGGUUUCUUUUGAAAGAAGUAAAAAUUUUAGUGAGGCAUUUAUCUCCUAUUGUUUUCUUUUAAGGGUUAGGAUCAGCUAAUACUGUGAAACUUUUAGUAAGAGUACCAACAUCUGUUUAUCUUUUGCAUGUGAGCACAACUUUGUGCAUUUCAACAUGCCUGUCUCUUAAUUGGGGCAUAAAAGUAAAUAGCCUUUUGAUGCCUUGAAUAGCAUAUUCCUGAGUCAGCCUUGGUUGCUACCUUUUUUACGUCGCCACCUGAUUAGUGUUGGCUUUUUGUUAAGCAGGCACGGGAUCUCAUUAUCAAGAAGCCUGAUGAGACUUGUUUCAGUUUUGCUGAAUGGUUCCUGGGGAAACAGAACAAAUAUAAAGCAAACCAGUGGAGUUUUAGUGAAUCUGUGUACAGUAACGAGUUUCUUCAAGUUAAGAAGGGUAUGUUUUUUAUUUGGAGACUGUUUGACGUUUCGUUGAUCCAUGCAUAAAACGCAUUGUCUGGAACAUGGACCUUGGGACAAUUUCUCUGCUGGAAAGGACACGGUCAGCAAAGCAAGCAGAAUGUACUGGCCUCUGAGUAAACAGUAGCAACAUCUCUACCAUCUGUUCGUUGUUUGAACAACGGGUAUCGUUCUUACAACUUGACCUGGUAGCUCAUCAGUAAGAGUCAAGCAGCUGAGUGUCUAACUUAGCACCACCAAUGGAAAAAGGGUUGCAAAAAAAUGACUACACCUGGCAGACGAGAAGUAAACCUUUAUAAUUCUGUUGGAACACUACAUCUGAGCAAUGCAUCAUAUGUUUGCUUUUCCAACUACAAGAAAAAAAUUGCACCAAGUUGUCUGUGGCAGACACCACAGCUGCUCCAAAUAUACUCAGUAAAACGCUGACUCAACACAAGCACUCAGACUUUACUCCCACUGAGUGGCUGAAAACUGUGUACCAUUGAGAUCUUGUUCAGUAAUCUGGCACAAAAUGGAAGGUCAAUGGUAUUCAAACAGGUAUGGUAGCCUGACGAGGACUCAGUUGCCAAAGACGAGGCUGUUGCUGGAAAGACAGUUGCAUAACGGGAUGCCGCUUACUAUUUUCAGAUCAGGCUUGGUGCGCCAUGGUGCCACAUCACCCAUCUAAACAAUGGGACUAGUAUUUAACUUACUGGACGCAUGUCUUGUUUCUCUCUAACUGCAGUCACCAUGGCAUCUUGACACUGAAAUUCAUUGUGGAUUUAAAUUGGUAAUAUUUUGCAUGACUCAUACACUGACUCCACUAUUGCACAACACAGAACUAUAAUCUGCGGUGCUGAUGAUUCUAGCCCUGUGGUUUUGAUAGUUGAAGUCAAAAGUUUAAAUAGGAACUAGCAUCUGAAACCCUGUGAUCAAUAGACAAAACAUUCAACCACAUCAUCAGAUUAGUGCUGCUCCUCACAGCACAUACACAGCACAUGUAAAGUCACACCUCUGCAAAAUUGGUUUCCAUGUGGAAAGCAGCUCUUUACGGAUGCCAGAGUUGGAUUUUGGUCUAAGACGAUAAUCCAGAGUGGAAUUCUCCCCGUUUGGUCACUGCUUUCACCCUGCUCAACUGUAACUGUUCAAUCCCAAGAAAACAUGCACAGAAACCUGAAAUACCUAACUUAAAAUCCUUAUAUUGUUAUUAUAAUUACUAAUUGUAUAAUAAUUACUAUACUAAUAGUAAUUAUUAUAAUUAAUAGUUAUAAUAAUAAUAAUAGCACUAUUAUUAUUAUUAUUAUUAUUACACAUACCCUGUGUGAGAUUAAAUCUGUCUGUUUCUAAAGGUUGUCUGUAGCUCACUCUUGUUUUUCUCCAUUAAUGAUUUAAUUGGAAAAAAAAACAUGACAUCAUGUGACCUCAUACUGCUUAAACAAACCUGGACUACAACAUAAGCACCCAGACUGAACUGUCAUGUGAUGCAAACUGAUGCGAACACAGUGGGGCUCGAAAGGGGUCCAAGUACAAAUCUGUUUGGCAUGCCCUUCAUCUCAAAACAAUGAAUUGUUUAAUAGGUAAUCUGUUUUGUAAAGUGCUCAACAACCAAAACAACAAUUUAGUUUUGGUGGCACACCACCAAAGAUAUGUACUGAUGCUAAAUGUGGGUGAAAGGUCAUUGUUCUUAGCUAGAAAUAUUAGCUAAAACGUCCGGGUUUUGACAUAUUUUAUUGAGGUAAAUAAAGAUAAAAACUGGUUAACCUAAAAAAAAAACAUAAAAGAAAAAAUCUAGCAGAAAAUGAAGGGUAUUUGCUGCAUGUGAUCAGAAAAGCAUGCAAUCGCUCCUAGUUUGGCAAGCGGCAGUUCUGCAUCUUAAGGACUUCUUUAGCAUUACCUUAUCAGGUUACAGAGACAGAAUGUGGACAGAAACAGAACAUGGAAGGAAUGACAGAAAUCCACCCAGCGUCUAAGAGGCGAAAGAAAUGUAGAAUAGUUAUGUCUGCUGUUAUUCUUCAGUCAGCAUGUCAUGGUAACAGGACAUGAUGUGCUCAUUGGAACUGGGAGUAAGAGUUUAGUGUCAUAAGAAGAAAGCAAUGGAACAUUUACGACCAAUUAUGCUCGAAAGGGGAAGUGGCAGACUGAAUCAAACUGGGAAAAAGACACGUCUUUAGGGACAGUGGAGGGAUUAGGACUCUCUUGUUAAGCGGAGACGAGAUGGACUGAGGGGAUUAAGGUGCUGGGCAGGUGAAGGUUUCAGCAGCAGGUGUUCAGCGCUUGCUCACACACAUCAAUAGGCAAUGAGAUGAGAUGGUGCUGUGUGAUAAUGCUCUGCCUCCAACAGUGUUAGAUUAUCAGCACAGAUGUUUGCUUUAUUAUUCUUCCAAACCCUCUUGCUUAAUUGUGUCGGGCAUUUGACGUAUGCAUAGUGAUGAGGGAAUUUUUCUCCAACUUUUCUUAAUUAGAGAAAAAGAGAAGAUUUCCAAAAUUUCCUGAGUUAUCUAUUGGGUUAUAUCCAUAUUUUUUCAGUCACAAAACUUUUUCAUUUCCUACUUCAGUCAGAGACUUUGUUCAAACUGAGCAUUUACUUUGCUUGUUUCUGGUAUCAAAGUGUAGAAAGCUUUUUAAAAGUUACAGUUUCAAAGGUACAAAUUCAAUUAUACUAUUCCUACAGUUUAAAUCCCUUUGAAUAAAAAGCAAAUGAAUUAGUGAUGUUCUCUCCAGAUAGAUAGAGAAAGGCAGCCUACAAAAAAAGUUACAUUUCACAGUUCAUGUCUGGAAUCAAAUAACAAAUAAAUAUUAUAUAUAUAAAUAUAUAUAAACUUUCCCAUAUUAUUUAAUGCUACACUUAGGUCUAUCACUUUUAAGUUGCCUUGUUGACUCACAAAUGGAUGGAAAUACAGAAAAGUUGCCUCUAAAGAAAACAAAAUGCAUCUUCUUAUCAGACUCUACCAGUAGAAGGCGCCAUUUACAGUCAUUCGUCUACAAUCACACACGUUACUCACUGCGAUAACAUUGUAACACGUUUGUAUAGCUGCUGACCCCGCACACAUCAAACUGUUACUAAGACUGUAAGACUGUAGACUGUUACUAAGCGCUCUGGUUGUUGCCUAAUCUCUUAUGGCCGGGCUUUGUGACUAAAACCCCUGCAGUCUAAAAGGGCGGAAAAGAACAGGUACCAUUUAUCGUCACAUUCACGAUAAUCCAUUAUGGGGCUCCAUUCAUGAAAACAAACCGGUUUUCCCUCCUUGUGUAAAACGACGUAGAAAAUGUCACACAUGCUUUGGGGAUUUCAGUGUGGAGGAAUAGUACAAUAGAAAAUACAGUGAACUUCAACUUUAAAUUCAGAAUGUGGGUCAUUUUUUACACUGGAACUGCUAAAUGAAUAUUAUUUCACCUCAGAACUUAGUCCAUGACCUUAUCAAAUGCUGUAUAACUUUUAUAAUAAUAAUAACCAAGAGUUUCGAACUAUUGUGCUAUUUUAAGCAUUUCAAAUAUUCGCAUUAUUUUAUAUUUUAAUUUUCAUAAUAAUGAAAUUUUUUUUUUUUUUUUAAAGUGUUUUAUUGUAGACAGCCUUUGACUUUGUAGAGCUCAUUGUCUGUGAACUGCACGACAUAACAGCAACCACUCACGCUCAUGUGACUCUUUAGACACGCGGGCAGAAAAUGAGAGUUAACCAAACUAGCAACAAACUUUAGUUCAAGUUCUUGAUCUGUUACGCACCACCACACCGGCAGAAAACCCAUAUUUUCAACUCCUUAAAUUAAAAACAAGACAAUUGCAGAAGUGGCUUGUUCCUACAAGGUUUCCGACUUGCAGCACUUCCCGUGAACUAAUUUGCCGUAAAGUAACAGGACGCUCCCCGGCCGGUGAAGCCGACAGCUGCUGGAGGGAAAGCAGGCUGAUGCAAUACACGACAAGCGGGAGGAAGGACCUCAUCUCCGGAUAAGCUUCAACUGUGUACAGCCUCUCUCUGCAGGAGUUGGAGGGGGGCUACCUCUCCGACUUCCAGACCUCCAAAAUUGGAGGGAGAGCAAUAAAUAGAUAAUUUAUAUAAUAAUAAAAACGUUAUAGCAAAACGUUGAAGCUGAGAAUUCCAACUUGGGCAAACUGGAAAAGAAAAGAAAAUAAAAAAAGUCAAUGUUUUUCUUUUUUCUAAAAGACAAUGAUGGUAAAAAGUAUAUUUAAAUAUAGGCAGAUUUUCUUGCCUUAUACAAACUGAAUUCUACAUUAACUUUAACUGCAGAAACAAAAUAAAAACAGAAAAUCUUU
Long non-coding RNA from Xiphophorus couchianus (Monterrey platyfish), 5692 nucleotides. RefSeq lists it as uncharacterized. Lineage: Eukaryota; Metazoa; Chordata; Actinopteri; Cyprinodontiformes; Poeciliidae. The record is from RefSeq and is a predicted model, not a curated record. The transcript has 2 exons.